Molecule: small nuclear RNA, 189 nt
Filed under: Esox lucius (northern pike)
Lineage: Eukaryota; Metazoa; Chordata; Actinopteri; Esociformes; Esocidae
Description: U2 spliceosomal RNA
Rfam family: U2 spliceosomal RNA
About the family: U2 is a small nuclear RNA (snRNA) component of the spliceosome (involved in pre-mRNA splicing). Complementary binding between U2 snRNA (in an area lying towards the 5' end but 3' to hairpin I) and the branchpoint sequence (BPS) of the intron results the bulging out of an unpaired adenosine, on the BPS, which initiates a nucleophilic attack at the intronic 5' splice site, thus starting the first of two transesterification reactions that mediate splicing.
Source: Rfam by way of RNAcentral
AUCGCUUCUCGGCCUUUGGCUAAGAUCAAGUGUAGUAUCUGUUCUUAUCAGUUUAUAUCUGAUACGUCCCCCAUCGGGGGACUAUACAUAUUAAAUGAUUUUUCGAACAGGGAGUCGGAAGCGGGGCUUGCUCCGUCCGCUCCCGCAUCGACUCGGUAUUGCAGUACCUCCGAGAACGGUGCACCCUCU